This 102-nucleotide Y RNA is filed under the name Cavia porcellus (domestic guinea pig). RNAcentral describes it as "Y RNA (ENSCPOG00000030278.1)". It matches the Rfam family "Y RNA". From Rfam's summary of the family: Y RNAs are components of the Ro ribonucleoprotein particle (Ro RNP), in association with Ro60 and La proteins. The Y RNAs and Ro60 and La proteins are well conserved, but the function of the Ro RNP is not known. In humans the RNA component can be one of four small RNAs -- hY1, hY3, hY4 and hY5. The record is from Rfam by way of RNAcentral. Lineage: Eukaryota; Metazoa; Chordata; Mammalia; Rodentia; Caviidae.
GGCUGGUCCAAGUGCAGCGGUGUUUACAGCUAAUUGAUCACAAUCAGUUACAGAUUUCUUUGUUCCUUCUCUAUUCCCACUGCUUCACUUGACUAGCUUAAA